RNAcentral lists this ribosomal RNA (1363 nucleotides) under Lactiplantibacillus plantarum subsp. plantarum. Its description in RNAcentral is "bacterial SSU rRNA". It matches the Rfam family "Bacterial small subunit ribosomal RNA", at positions 74 to 1427 of the family's 1533-position model. The record is from RNAcentral. Lineage: Bacteria; Bacillati; Bacillota; Bacilli; Lactobacillales; Lactobacillaceae.
CAUGAUUUACAUUUGAGUGAGUGGCGAACUGGUGAGUAACACGUGGGAAACCUGCCCAGAAGCGGGGGAUAACACCUGGAAACAGAUGCUAAUACCGCAUAACAACUUGGACCGCAUGGUCCGAGUUUGAAAGAUGGCUUCGGCUAUCACUUUUGGAUGGUCCCGCGGCGUAUUAGCUAGAUGGUGGGGUAACGGCUCACCAUGGCAAUGAUACGUAGCCGACCUGAGAGGGUAAUCGGCCACAUUGGGACUGAGACACGGCCCAAACUCCUACGGGAGGCAGCAGUAGGGAAUCUUCCACAAUGGACGAAAGUCUGAUGGAGCAACGCCGCGUGAGUGAAGAAGGGUUUCGGCUCGUAAAACUCUGUUGUUAAAGAAGAACAUAUCUGAGAGUAACUGUUCAGGUAUGACGGUAUUUAACCAGAAAGCACGGCUAACUACGUGCCAGCAGCCGCGGUAAUACGUAGGUGGCAAGCGUUGUCCGGAUUUAUUGGGCGUAAAGCGAGCGCAGGCGGUUUUUUAAGUCUGAUGUGAAAGCCUUCGGCUCAACCGAAGAAGUGCAUCGGAAACUGGGAAACUUGAGUGCAGAAGAGGACAGUGGAACUCCAUGUGUAGCGGUGAAAUGCGUAGAUAUAUGGAAGAACACCAGUGGCGAAGGCGGCUGUCUGGUCUGUAACUGACGCUGAGGCUCGAAAGUAUGGGUAGCAAACAGGAUUAGAUACCCUGGUAGUCCAUACCGUAAACGAUGAAUGCUAAGUGUUGGAGGGUUUCCGCCCUUCAGUGCUGCAGCUAACGCAUUAAGCAUUCCGCCUGGGGAGUACGGCCGCAAGGCUGAAACUCAAAGGAAUUGACGGGGGCCCGCACAAGCGGUGGAGCAUGUGGUUUAAUUCGAAGCUACGCGAAGAACCUUACCAGGUCUUGACAUACUAUGCAAAUCUAAGAGAUUAGACGUUCCCUUCGGGGACAUGGAUACAGGUGGUGCAUGGUUGUCGUCAGCUCGUGUCGUGAGAUGUUGGGUUAAGUCCCGCAACGAGCGCAACCCUUAUUAUCAGUUGCCAGCAUUAAGUUGGGCACUCUGGUGAGACUGCCGGUGACAAACCGGAGGAAGGUGGGGAUGACGUCAAAUCAUCAUGCCCCUUAUGACCUGGGCUACACACGUGCUACAAUGGAUGGUACAACGAGUUGCGAACUCGCGAGAGUAAGCUAAUCUCUUAAAGCCAUUCUCAGUUCGGAUUGUAGGCUGCAACUCGCCUACAUGAAGUCGGAAUCGCUAGUAAUCGCGGAUCAGCAUGCCGCGGUGAAUACGUUCCCGGGCCUUGUACACACCGCCCGUCACACCAUGAGAGUUUGUAACACCCAAAGU